UCCCGGCUGGCUCCUGCUGAACGAUGCCCUUCCUGCUGGGGCCGUGCUCUUCACGCUGCCAAAAGGGCAGCCAGAGCCCCACUGGGUGGACAAUUGAGCACUAAAUCUAGGAUGGCAGCUCAGAGCCACAUGUCUCCACUUGUCCUAGGACAAGACAUGCAAGGGGCAGAGGAGCUGCAGUGCAAGCACCAGAUGGAGCAGAGCCAGGUCCAGAAGUACAGGGACCUGGCGAGAGUGGGAGAGGGCCUGAGAAAGAUCUUGCUGGAGGAGCAGAGAAAAUCUUUCCUGCAGAGGGCCCUUCAUGCAGUUCACAGUGGACAGAUGCACAUCAGCCAAGCUGGGCUUGUCUUCCUGUAUGCAAUCCUGGGGGAAGCCAGCUGCUUGAAGGGACACAAGGUGUGAUAGGGAGAAUACAAAUACACCUACCAGCAAGGGAGAGCCUGAAAUGAUUAUCUUGCAUCCAGCUGCCAGCAAGGUCAUGAAUUUGUAUUAGAAGCAGGAAGAGGAGAUCAACAACAACACUUAUUAGAAAAGAAAAUUUGAUAUUAAAUUUAUUAGUCUAAAACUACUCUUAACUCCUACGCAC
Molecule: long non-coding RNA, 586 nt
Organism: Alligator mississippiensis (American alligator)
Lineage: Eukaryota; Metazoa; Chordata; Crocodylia; Alligatoridae
Exons: 4
Source: RefSeq, a predicted model, not a curated record